Molecule: long non-coding RNA, 387 nt
Filed under: Prunus persica (peach)
Lineage: Eukaryota; Viridiplantae; Streptophyta; Magnoliopsida; Rosales; Rosaceae
Description: long non-coding RNA (PPER_LNC006474)
Source: RNAcentral
GAAAAUUGUAAACAUGUCCAUACCAUGAGAAUAUGUGAUUUUGGCCCGAAGUUCAAAAUCUAAGGGGAUUGAAUGUCCAUACCAUGAGAAUAUGUGAUUUUGGCCUGAAGUUCAAAAUCUAACAGUGUUGAGAACCUGAAGUUCCAACAAUUAAAUGGACAACCCUUGAGGUAUUAUUGCAAAUUGUGGUACGCCACAUAUCUCUUUGGCAUAAGAGAAUGAUGAAUUGAGGCUCCCCACAUAUUUUGUUAUAUCUGGGCCGGAAACUCAUGAACCCAAAUAUAUGAGAUAUUAGCGUGGCUUUUACUCAAUUCAUAUUUCAUGCCCAUUUUGAAAAGGGCAAAUAAAUUCUGAGUUUUGUGUUUAGCCCAUGCCUAAAGUUCCGGG